AAUAUUUAAAUCUAUUGUAAUAUUAUGCCGUAUAAUAUACAGGCGAUUUGUAGUAUUUAACCAUGUUAAACCGCUCUUAUAUCAGUCUUAUCUAUCGCUAAAAUCAGUCGGAUGUGAAAACGUAAAUACCCAAGCUGACGAAUUAGCGAACGGUCGACCGGGAAUUACCUAUAUUUCAUAAAAAGCCACAAAAGUGGUAUAAGGGUUGUAAUAUUCGUUCCCACCAAUAACUCGUAUGACUUUUUCAUUUUGUUUUUAGUUUUUUUACUCGUUUUAUUGAAUCUUCGGCGAUAUUCGUAAUAAUACAACGGUUCCUUAACAUUUGUAUAUUCGGCCCGAAUUAUUUGUAUAUUAAAGGGCGCGAUAUUUCGUUGAACUGAUACAAAUAUUGCACGUGAUUUUUAAUAAUACACAUAGUGGAGUGGUAUUAUACAUAUAUAUAUUCAGUGGCGCAAUUGGGAAAUUUUUUUAAGGGAGAGGGGAAUAUCAAAAUAAAUCUUCACGGCAACCUCGUGGGAGGUUAGCCCCAUACAACUCCCACCCCU
Non-coding RNA from Cinara cedri, 545 nucleotides. The record is from the annotation of a GenBank genome assembly. NCBI's taxonomy places the organism in Eukaryota, Metazoa, Arthropoda, Insecta, Hemiptera, Aphididae.